GGAUCAAUAACUUCUUAGUUAAGGUAUUUGAUUUUCAUUCACUUAGUCUCAGGUUCGAAUCCUGAUUUACCUA
RNAcentral lists this transfer RNA (73 nucleotides) under Schistosoma margrebowiei. It matches the Rfam family "tRNA". Rfam says of the family: Transfer RNA (tRNA) molecules are approximately 80 nucleotides in length. Their secondary structure includes four short double-helical elements and three loops (D, anti-codon, and T loops). The record is from Rfam by way of RNAcentral. Lineage: Eukaryota; Metazoa; Platyhelminthes; Trematoda; Strigeidida; Schistosomatidae.